AACCGCGGUGACGAAGUCGCGCACGAGCG
Molecule: small RNA, 29 nt
Filed under: Bombyx mori (domestic silkworm)
Lineage: Eukaryota; Metazoa; Arthropoda; Insecta; Lepidoptera; Bombycidae
Description: ovarian small RNA-10323
Source: RNAcentral